RNAcentral lists this ribosomal RNA (16 nucleotides) under Arundinaria gigantea. Its description in RNAcentral is "partial 18S ribosomal RNA". The record is from RNAcentral. RNAcentral also lists the same sequence under 137 other names. Lineage: Eukaryota; Viridiplantae; Streptophyta; Magnoliopsida; Poales; Poaceae.
GGAAGGAUCAUUGUCG